Molecule: ribosomal RNA, 253 nt
Filed under: uncultured bacterium
Lineage: Bacteria
Description: partial 16S ribosomal RNA
Rfam family: Bacterial small subunit ribosomal RNA
Source: RNAcentral
UACGUAGGGUCCGAGCGUUGUCCGGAAUUAUUGGGCGUAAAGGGCUCGUAGGCGGUUUGUCGCGUCGGGAGUGAAAACCUCGGGCUUAACUCGGGGCUUGCUUUCGAUACGGGCAGACUAGAGGUAUGCAGGGGAGAACGGAAUUCCUGGUGUAGCGGUGAAAUGCGCAGAUAUCAGGAGGAACACCGGUGGCGAAGGCGGUUCUCUGGGCAUGAUCUGACGCUGAGGAGCGAAAGUGUGGGGAGCGAACAGG